UCCAGUCUCUACAGGACUCGAUGGGCAGA
RNAcentral lists this non-coding RNA (29 nucleotides) under Homo sapiens (human). The record is from RNAcentral. Lineage: Eukaryota; Metazoa; Chordata; Mammalia; Primates; Hominidae.